RNAcentral lists this ribosomal RNA (478 nucleotides) under Streptococcus sp. oral taxon E07. RNAcentral describes it as "bacterial SSU rRNA". It matches the Rfam family "Bacterial small subunit ribosomal RNA", at positions 28 to 489 of the family's 1533-position model. Lineage: Bacteria; Bacillati; Bacillota; Bacilli; Lactobacillales; Streptococcaceae. The record is from RNAcentral.
GACGAACGCUGGCGGCGUGCCUAAUACAUGCAAGUAGAACGCUGAAGAGGGGAGCUUGCUCUUCUUGGAUGAGUUGCGAACGGGUGAGUAACGCGUAGGUAACCUGCCUUGUAGCGGGGGAUAACUAUUGGAAACGAUAGCUAAUACCGCAUAACAAUGGGUGACUCAUGUCAUUUAUUUGAAAGGGGCAAAUGCUCCACUACAAGAUGGACCUGCGUUGUAUUAGCUAGUUGGUGAGGUAACGGCUCACCAAGGCGACGAUACAUAGCCGACCUGAGAGGGUGAUCGGCCACACUGGGACUGAGACACGGCCCAGACUCCUACGGGAGGCAGCAGUAGGGAAUCUUCGGCAAUGGACGGAAGUCGACCGAGCAACGCCGCGUGAGUGAAGAAGGUUUUCGGAUCGUAAAGCUCUGUUGUAAGAGAAGAACGAGUGUGAGAGUGGAAGGUUCACACUGUGACGGUAUCUUACCAGAAA